This 898-nucleotide ribosomal RNA is filed under the name uncultured bacterium. Its description in RNAcentral is "bacterial SSU rRNA". It matches the Rfam family "Bacterial small subunit ribosomal RNA", at positions 33 to 914 of the family's 1533-position model. The record is from RNAcentral.
ACGCUGGCGGCGUGCCUAAUACAUGCAAGUAGAACGCUGAAGGAGGAGCUUGCUUCUCUGGAUGAGUUGCGAACGGGUGAGUAACGCGUAGGUAACCUGCCUGGUAGCGGGGGAUAACUAUUGGAAACGAUAGCUAAUACCGCAUAACAGUAGAUGUUGCAUGACAUUUGCUUAAAAGGUGCAAUUGCAUCACUACCAGAUGGACCUGCGUUGUAUUAGCUAGUUGGUGGGGUAACGGCUCACCAAGGCGACGAUACAUAGCCGACCUGAGAGGGUGAUCGGCCACACUGGGACUGAGACACGGCUCAGACUCCUACGGGAGGCAGCAGUAGGGAAUCUUCGGCAAUGGACGGAAGUCUGACCGAGCAACGCCGCGUGAGUGAAGAAGGUUUUCGGAUCGUAAAGCUCUGUUGUAAGAGAAGAACAGGUGUGAGAGUGGAAAGUUCACACUGUGACGGUAUCUUACCAGAAAGGGACGGCUAACUACGUGCCAGCAGCCGCGGUAAUACGUAGGUCCCGAGCGUUGUCCGGAUUUAUUGGGCGUAAAGCGAGCGCAGGCGGUUAGAUAAGUCUGAAGUUAAAGGCUGUGGCUUAACCAUAGUACGCUUUGGAAACUGUUUAACUUGAGUGCAAGAGGGGAGAGUGGAAUUCCAUGUGUAGCGGUGAAAUGCGUAGAUAUAUGGAGGAACACCGGUGGCGAAAGCGGCUCUCUGGCUUGUAACUGACGCUGAGGCUCGAAAGCGUGGGGAGCAAACAGGAUUAGAUACCCCUGGUAGUCCACGCCGUAAACGAUGAGUGCUAGGUGUUAGACCCUUUCCGGGGUUUAGUGCCGCAGCUAACGCAUUAAGCACUCCGCCUGGGGAGUACGACCGCAAGGUUGAAACUCAAAGGAAUUGAC